This 497-nucleotide ribosomal RNA is filed under the name uncultured bacterium. Its description in RNAcentral is "partial 16S ribosomal RNA". It matches the Rfam family "Bacterial small subunit ribosomal RNA", at positions 28 to 507 of the family's 1533-position model. The record is from RNAcentral.
GAUGAACGCUGGCGGCGUGCCUAAUACAUGCAAGUCGAGCGAACGGACGAGAAGCUUGCUUCUCUGAUGUUAGCGCCGGACGGGUGAGUAACACGUGUAUAACCUACCUAUAAGACUGGGAUAACUUCGGGAAACCGGCGCUACUACCGGAUAAUAUUUUGCACCGCAUGGUUCAAGAGUGAAAUACGGUCUUGCUGUCACUUAUAGAUGGAUCCGCGCUGCAUUAGCUAGUUGGUAAGGUAACGGCUUACCAAGGCAACGAGGCAUAGCCGACCUGAGCGGGUGGUCGGGCACACUGGAAGUGAGACACGGUCCAGACUCCUACGGGAGGCAGCAGUAGGGAAUCUUACGCGAUGGGCGAGAGCCUGACGGAGCAAAGCCGCGGGAGGGAUGAAGGUGUUCGGAUCGGAAAACUGUGUUAGUAGGGAAGAACAUAUGUGUAAGUAACUGUGAAGAUCAUGACGGUACCUAAUCAGAAAGCCACGGCUAACUACGUG